GGAUGUGAGGGCGAUCUGGCUGCAACAGCUGUCACCCCCAUUGAUCACCAGAGUUGAUUUGGCUGAUCUGGCUGGCUAGGCGGGUGUCCCCUUCCUCCCUCACCACUCCACGUGUGUCCCUCCUGAGGCUGUGUACUCGGUCAAAGAGGAUGACCAUCCCCGAGAGAGGAGGACCGGUCUUCCGUCAAGGGUACACAAGUAGCCGUGUUCCCCUGCUAGAACCUCCAAACAAACUCUCAAGGUGCAAAGUGCAUUUCAGCUCAAAUGGUCAAUGCACUCUUUCAACAUUAGUGAAUCAGUUUCCUGGUUUUAU
Molecule: unclassified non-coding RNA, 313 nt
Organism: Nomascus leucogenys (northern white-cheeked gibbon)
Lineage: Eukaryota; Metazoa; Chordata; Mammalia; Primates; Hylobatidae
Gene: 7SK
Rfam family: 7SK RNA
About the family: 7SK was discovered as an abundant small nuclear RNA in the mid-70s but a possible function has only recently been suggested.
Source: Ensembl